AGAUGCGCUUGGUUCAGCACUCACACUGAUGAGGAUCCUUCUGGCAGAGCUGUGGAGAGGAGAACCUGAAACAUAGAGGAAGCUGAAGGACAAGGUCUCUGAGGAGGAAAAGAAGAAAGGAUUGAACAGAGAAGAAAUGUUUCUACUGAAAGGAUGAGGCUGGAGCAACAAACUAGAGGUUUGGGGAUUUUCAGUCUUAGGUGAGAAGAUAAUACAAGGUUGACUAAGACUGCUGAAAGAACAGUGAAAGAGAAAGGCUGAUGAAAAGGUUGAAAAACAGAUCUAAGAUGAUCAACAUGUGGAUGGUGACUGCACAAAAA
Lonchura striata (white-rumped munia) is the source of this 320-nucleotide non-coding RNA. The record is from RefSeq and is a predicted model, not a curated record. Lineage: Eukaryota; Metazoa; Chordata; Aves; Passeriformes; Estrildidae.